UUCGACUCGAACGAUUUUCUUUCAACUCUGUCUCGCGCACCCCUGCUGGAACGGCCGGUUGAGGGAUUUGGAGUUUAGGGCUCAGACAGCUUCGAUCCUUCGCCGAUUCAUUCAAGGUUUAGGUUUAGAUGGGUAAACUUGAAGUGGAUGUGAUCCCAUGGUUGGGAAUCUCAAGACUAUUGGUGAAUCUCGACUCAAGACAUCAAGACUGUGGAAAAUUACUCGAGCCUCGGGGAUUUCAAGGAGCUCAUAUUAUCAAACAAGAAGACGAUGCUUUGAUCGAUGAGGAACGCUUGGCCCAUGAUAACAAACGUCUCCACACGAUCCCACCUAGUUCUUAGGUUUCGAAUUCAUAUUUCUUUUCUUGUAAAGGGAAUUCUUUUGUGUUUUCCUCAUUUCUAUCAAGGUUUCCCGUAUUCAUUUUUCAUAUUCCUUGUAAAAUCGAACUACUUUGUAAGCUUCAAGAAAGCAAGGUUUUGUUUCCCUUGUAAUUGUUCGAUUGGAAUAAAUGAAAUUCAUGAACAUUUUCAUGUAAUUUUUAGAAAA
Eucalyptus grandis is the source of this 546-nucleotide long non-coding RNA. RefSeq lists it as uncharacterized. The transcript is spliced from 2 exons. The record is from RefSeq and is a predicted model, not a curated record. NCBI's taxonomy places the organism in Eukaryota, Viridiplantae, Streptophyta, Magnoliopsida, Myrtales, Myrtaceae.